Molecule: ribosomal RNA, 270 nt
Filed under: uncultured bacterium
Lineage: Bacteria
Description: partial 16S ribosomal RNA
Rfam family: Bacterial small subunit ribosomal RNA
Source: RNAcentral
GACAAACGCUGGCGGCGUGCUUAACACAUGCAAGUCGAACGGUUCACCUUCGGGUGGAUAGUGGCGGACGGGUGAGUAACACGUAGUUGACCUGCCCUAUAGUGGGGAAUAACGUCUCGAAAGAGGUGCUAAUACCGCAUAAGCUCACAGUCGUUGGAUUGUGAGGAAACCUUGGCCGUAAGGUCCGGGGCUAAAGGAGGGGACUGCGGCGGAUUAGCUAGAUGGUGGGGUAACGGCCUACCAUGGCGACGAUCCGUAGCUGGUCUGAGA